GCUCCCAUGGCGUAGUGGUCACUGCGCUCGCCUUGCACGCGGGAUAUCCGGGUUCGAUUCCCGGCGGGGUCA
Molecule: transfer RNA, 72 nt
Filed under: Diaphorina citri (Asian citrus psyllid)
Lineage: Eukaryota; Metazoa; Arthropoda; Insecta; Hemiptera; Psyllidae
Rfam family: tRNA
About the family: Transfer RNA (tRNA) molecules are approximately 80 nucleotides in length. Their secondary structure includes four short double-helical elements and three loops (D, anti-codon, and T loops).
Source: Rfam by way of RNAcentral